RNAcentral lists this ribosomal RNA (495 nucleotides) under uncultured bacterium. Its description in RNAcentral is "partial 16S ribosomal RNA". It matches the Rfam family "Bacterial small subunit ribosomal RNA", at positions 28 to 507 of the family's 1533-position model. The record is from RNAcentral.
GACGAACGCUGGCGGCGUGCCUAAUACAUGCAAGUAGAACGCUGAAGGAGGAGCUUGCUUCUCUGGAUGAGUUGCGAACGGGUGAGUAACGCGUAGGUAACCUGCCUGGUAGCGGGGGAUAACUAUUGGAAACGAUAGCUAAUACCGCAUAAUAGUAGAUGUUGCAUGACAUUUGCUUAAAAGGUGCAAUUGCAUCACUACCAGAUGGACCUGCGUUGUAUUAGCUAGUUGGUGGGGUAACGGCUCACCAAGGCGACGAUACAUAGCCGACCUGAGAGGGUGAUCGGCCAAACUGGGACUGGGACACGGCCCAGACUCCUACGGGAGGCAGCAGUAGGGAAUCUUCGGCAAUGGACGGAAGGCUGAACGAGCAACGCCGCGUGAGUGAAGAAGGUUGUCGGAUCGUAAAGCUCUGUUGUAAGAGAAGAACGAGUAUGAGAGUGGAAAGUUCACACUGUGACGGUAUCUGACCAGAAAGGGACGGCUAACUACGUG